This 688-nucleotide ribosomal RNA is filed under the name Escherichia coli. Its description in RNAcentral is "bacterial SSU rRNA". It matches the Rfam family "Bacterial small subunit ribosomal RNA", at positions 844 to 1532 of the family's 1533-position model. Lineage: Bacteria; Pseudomonadati; Pseudomonadota; Gammaproteobacteria; Enterobacterales; Enterobacteriaceae. The record is from RNAcentral.
UUCCGGAGCUAACGCGUUAAGUCGACCGCCUGGGGAGUACGGCCGCAAGGUUAAAACUCAAAUGAAUUGACGGGGGCCCGCACAAGCGGUGGAGCAUGUGGUUUAAUUCGAUGCAACGCGAAGAACCUUACCUGGUCUUGACAUCCACAGAACUUUCCAGAGAUGGAUUGGUGCCUUCGGGAACUGUGAGACAGGUGCUGCAUGGCUGUCGUCAGCUCGUGUUGUGAAAUGUUGGGUUAAGUCCCGCAACGAGCGCAACCCUUAUCCUUUGUUGCCAGCGGUCCGGCCGGGAACUCAAAGGAGACUGCCAGUGAUAAACUGGAGGAAGGUGGGGAUGACGUCAAGUCAUCAUGGCCCUUACGACCAGGGCUACACACGUGCUACAAUGGCGCAUACAAAGAGAAGCGACCUCGCGAGAGCAAGCGGACCUCAUAAAGUGCGUCGUAGUCCGGAUUGGAGUCUGCAACUCGACUCCAUGAAGUCGGAAUCGCUAGUAAUCGUGGAUCAGAAUGCCACGGUGAAUACGUUCCCGGGCCUUGUACACACCGCCCGUCACACCAUGGGAGUGGGUUGCAAAAGAAGUAGGUAGCUUAACCUUCGGGAGGGCGCUUACCACUUUGUGAUUCAUGACUGGGGUGAAGUCGUAACAAGGUAACCGUAGGGGAACCUGCGGUUGGAUCACCUCCUU